UAUGAGUUUGAUCMUGGCUCAGAUUGAACGCUGGCGGCAGGCCUAACACAUGCAAGUCGAGCGGAAACGAUGGAAGCUUGCUUCCAGGCGUCGAGCGGCGGACGGGUGAGUAAUGCAUGGGAAUCUGCCCGAUAGUGGGGGAUAACCUGGGGAAACCCAGGCUAAUACCGCAUACGUCCUACGGGAGAAAGCAGGGGAUCUUCGGACCUUGCGCUAUCGGAUGAGCCCAUGUCGGAUUAGCUUGUUGGUGAGGUAAUGGCUCACCAAGGCGACGAUCCGUAGCUGGUCUGAGAGGAUGAUCAGCCACAUCGGGACUGAGACACGGCCCGAACUCCUACGGGAGGCAGCAGUGGGGAAUAUUGGACAAUGGGCGAAAGCCUGAUCCAGCCAUGCCGCGUGUGUGAAGAAGGCCCUCGGGUUGUAAAGCACUUUCAGUGGGGAAGAAAGCCUUGGGAUUAAUACUCCCGAGGAAGGACAUC
RNAcentral lists this ribosomal RNA (479 nucleotides) under Halomonas sp. M15-C4. RNAcentral's name for it is "bacterial SSU rRNA". It matches the Rfam family "Bacterial small subunit ribosomal RNA", at positions 1 to 476 of the family's 1533-position model. Lineage: Bacteria; Pseudomonadati; Pseudomonadota; Gammaproteobacteria; Oceanospirillales; Halomonadaceae. The record is from RNAcentral.